This 329-nucleotide unclassified non-coding RNA is filed under the name plant metagenome. RNAcentral describes it as "partial contains 5.8S ribosomal RNA, internal transcribed spacer 2, and large subunit ribosomal RNA". The stretch from base 1 to 105 matches the Rfam family "5.8S ribosomal RNA", at positions 50 to 154 of the family's 154-position model. The record is from RNAcentral.
GAAAUGCGAUAAGUAAUGUGAAUUGCAGAAUUCAGUGAAUCAUCGAAUCUUUGAACGCACAUUGCGCCCGUCAGCAUUCUGGCGGGCAUGCCUGUUCGAGCGUCAUUUCAACCCUCAGGACCCCCCUUUCGCGGGGAGGGACCUGGCGUUGGGGAUCGGCCCGCCCCCCGUGGCGGCGCCGUCCCCGAAAUCUAGUGGCGGUCUCGCUGCAGCCUCCCCUGCGUAGUAGUUACAACCUCGCAUCGGAGCGCGGCGCGGCCACGCCGUAAAACCCCCGACUUUCUGAACGCUGACCUCGGAUCAGGUAGGAAUACCCGCUGAACUUAAGC